This 2057-nucleotide long non-coding RNA is filed under the name Homo sapiens (human). RNAcentral describes it as "HSALNT0247214". The record is from RNAcentral. Lineage: Eukaryota; Metazoa; Chordata; Mammalia; Primates; Hominidae.
AAAAUAUGUAGACCUAACAUCUAUCUCCCUGCUCCAGUUUCAAGAGAAAAGACCUUAUUCAGAGAAAUAUUUAGAAGACUCUUGUGGAAUUCUUGCUGUGAGUGGUUUUUCCUUCCCUGCCAUUGGUGCGACUGUUUCCCCCUUCCGUCAAAUUGCUGUCUAGAUGUUUCUCUCUGACCCCAAUUUUCUCGGAGUUUGGGAUUAUCAAUCUAAAAUCAGAGGUGAGAAUUCAUCAGUGUUAUCGAUAAGACUUUGCAAUUAUUUCUUUCAAACUGAACUUUUUCCCUAUUCACUUAUUUUUCCUCAUUGCAAAAUAAUCAAAGCAUUGAUGAGUGUUUCUGUUUAAAUUCAAAGGACAUUCCACCUUUAACCUUAGCAUUCAUGAGACACAAAAUGGGUUUUUCUUUUUGCUGAUUUAAAAAGCUGCUAUGAAGCUGCACAGUGCGGAAGAGGGCACCCCUGCUCCAGAAAAGAAGAAACAAAACUGCCUGCCAUAGACACUUGGCAGGGAGGAACUUGGAUUGUCCUUCAGUAAAAUUCCACUUUGAUGCGCAAAGCGAACUUGAAUUUCUGCUUGGCCUACCACAGGCCUGCAACAUGCACUUUCUCCUCGAGGGAACUGCCACUCACUGACACGGACAACAGUAAAGGAACUUGGUCUUCACUAUGCCUCAUAGUGGUGGGUCACACUGCCCAGGAGGAACCCGCAAUGAGACCGGCAAAUGCCUUAACCAUCUCAUUGUCUCAUCAGGAAGAAGCUUAAAUGACUCUUCUUGCUCACAUACUUCCUGGGCAAACAUGUCUGCUCUGUUGGGAUAAAGGACGCUCUAGACCAGGCUCUGCUGAAAGAUCCAGGGCAAAGGUUCCUGACAAGACUAUGUCCAGCCUCAAAUAAGGCCACAGAAGAGCCCAGGCUCGCUGACGAGCACCGGCUCCGAGGCAGUCACAUCAGGAGACAGAAACAGACAUGUUGGUGCUGCCCUCUCAGGUCAGUGCAAAUGCCACUUGAGGAGGGCUGAGAGCUUUGCAGCAUAAAAUGACCAGAACAAGGAGAAACACAGAUGCAAUGGCAAUAGCUGGCAAUUCGCACAUGGCGUCAAACACCACUGCCACAGAAGCUUUUUAGCUACAAGCCACGCUAUGCAACCUUUAAGCAAAACAUUAUUGAUUUUGUGGUUGUAAAAACAUACCUUCAACUGCAGAACUCAGUUUUAUGACACCUUGAAUAAAAACAAAAAGUGGCAGUUAUAUAAUGGACCCAAAUCGCCUUUUCCAGGCUUCUCAUAACACACGCAUGCUUCAGAUUUGGAUUUUUCUUUUUCUGCUGGCAUUGCAAGAACGUAACUAAACAAAUAUCAACUUCAAAAAUAAAAUAAUUUUUAGUCUUAACUAGGUCUCAUGGAUGUCUUCUUUUCCCCCACUAAAACCAUUUGGGGAAAUUUUUCACUAAAAAUGGGAUCAAACAUGUUUUUGGAUGGGACAAAGGCCAAGUCUGCCUGAGUGACUAUUUCUGUGUAUAAAUUAUACCAGAUUAUGGAUCAAUAAAAGUUCACACAAUAGGAUGCUAGGGACCAGCACUUCCUCUUUGAUACUGUAUCUAGAGAUCAUCUGAUGCAUGUUAGGACAGAGUUUCUGUUGAAACAUGUAACAGGUGGUUAAAAACCAUGGUGUGAUCUGGUAACUUUCUUCUCUGGGGUGGUUGGGCCAGAGCCCUUUUCUUGGUCUGAUGGGUUUAGAUUUCAGCUCCCUCAAGUCAGAGAGUGAACGGGUUAUCUGAGCAAGUCAAGUUGUUCAUGAAGCAAGUCAGUACCCUUGACUGAUAUUUAUGCACCUUUGCAGUGAAUUUUUUUUUUUUUUGAGACAGAGUCUCGCUCUGUCACCCAGGCUGGAGUGCAGUGGCGCAAUCUCGGAUCUUGGAUCUCGGCUCACUGCAACCUCUGCCUCCUGGGUGGACGCCAUUCUCCUGCCUCAGCCUCCCGAGUGGCUGGGACUACAGGCGCCCGCCAGCACGCCCGGCUAAUUUUUUGUAUUUUUAGUAGAAACAUGGUUUCACUGUA